CGAGAAAGCCCGCAAGGGUGAGUAAAGCGGCGCACGGGUGCGUAACACGUGGGUAAUCUGCCCUGGAGCCCGGAAUAACUUCCCGAAAGGGAUGCUAAUGCCGGAUGAGACCACGGGAGCUCCGGCUCCCGCGGGAAAAGGUGGCCUCUGUAUACAAGCUAUCACUUCAGGAUGAGCCCGCGGCCCAUCAGCUAGUUGGCGGGGUAAUGGCCCACCAAGGCAACGACGGGUAGCUGGUCUGAGAGGACGAUCAGCCACACUGGAACUGAGACACGGUCCAGACUCCUACGGGAGGCAGCAGUGGGGAAUCUUGCGCAAUGGGCGAAAGCCUGACGCAGCAACGCCGCGUGUGUGAUGAAGGUCUUCGGAUCGUAAAGCACUGUCGCGAGGGACG
This 394-nucleotide ribosomal RNA is filed under the name uncultured Anaeromyxobacter sp. RNAcentral describes it as "bacterial SSU rRNA". It matches the Rfam family "Bacterial small subunit ribosomal RNA", at positions 67 to 447 of the family's 1533-position model. The record is from RNAcentral. Lineage: Bacteria; Pseudomonadati; Myxococcota; Myxococcia; Myxococcales; Anaeromyxobacteraceae.